AAAGUAGACUGGACGGUCGCCUCAUAGUGCUCAGGCAGUGUGGGGAGGAAAGUCCGAACUCCACAGAACAGGACGGUCGCUAACGGCGACUUCGAGUGAUCGGAGGAAAGUGCCACAGAAAACAGACUGUCUCGAAUUUUCGGGAUGAUGGUGAAAAGGUGGGGUAAGAGCCCACCGCCCCAGUGGUGACAUUUGGGGGCACGGUAAACCCCGUCCGGAGCAAGACCAAAUAGAUUCCGUGUUUUGGGGUUGUCAAAAAUUCAUGCAUAUGUUGUAUAUUCCAGUCAAUCGUACAAUCGUUAUAAUACACGAUUUUGCACACGUUUUCAUGCUGAUGUAUGCCAUUUUUUGACAACCUCAAAAGAAGGGUUGUUCGCCCAACUUGCCUUUGCAUAACGGAAUGGGUAGGUUGCAUGAUCCUGUCAGCAAUGGCAGGGCUAGAUAAAUGACCGUCAUUCCGGUUGUUAAAACGGAAACACAGAAUUCGGCUUACAGGUCUGCUUUGGGU
RNAcentral lists this RNase P RNA (508 nucleotides) under Calditrichota bacterium. RNAcentral's name for it is "Calditrichaeota bacterium RNase P RNA component class A". It matches the Rfam family "Bacterial RNase P class A". From Rfam's summary of the family: Ribonuclease P (RNase P) is a ubiquitous endoribonuclease, found in archaea, bacteria and eukarya as well as chloroplasts and mitochondria. Its best characterised activity is the generation of mature 5'-ends of tRNAs by cleaving the 5'-leader elements of precursor-tRNAs. Lineage: Bacteria; Pseudomonadati; Calditrichota. The record is from RNAcentral.